This 253-nucleotide ribosomal RNA is filed under the name uncultured bacterium. RNAcentral's name for it is "partial 16S ribosomal RNA". It matches the Rfam family "Bacterial small subunit ribosomal RNA", at positions 524 to 776 of the family's 1533-position model. The record is from RNAcentral.
UACGGGGGGGGCAAGCGUUGUUCGGAAUUACUGGGCGUAAAGGGCUCGUAGGCGGCCAACUAAGUCAGACGUGAAAUCCCUCGGCUUAACCGGGGAACUGCGUCUGAUACUGGAUGGCUAGAGUUUGGGAGAGGGAUGCGGAAUUCCAGGUGUAGCGGUGAAAUGCGCAGAUAUCAGGAGGAACACCAAUGGCGAAGGCAGCACUCUGGGACGUGACUGACGCUGAGACGCGAAAGCGUGGGGAGCAAACAGG